RNA transcript from Solanum dulcamara, 2058 nucleotides. It is a transcript of the gene named pentatricopeptide repeat-containing protein At1g12620-like, with no coding region annotated. The record is from RefSeq and is a predicted model, not a curated record. Lineage: Eukaryota; Viridiplantae; Streptophyta; Magnoliopsida; Solanales; Solanaceae. The transcript has 3 exons.
UAAACUUAAAAAUACUUUUUAAAAAUUUUCACAAGUUGUUUUUUGCCAUAAAGUUUGUGGCAAAAUUAGGGCAGACGGAGAUACAGCCAUUGAAGAAGAUGAAGAGAAUUUCUUUGGGCAAUCGCAAUGGUAUUAUCUCUUCCAUUUCAGUUAAGGGUAAAGUUAGUGUAAAUUUUGAGUGUUUAGAUGAUGCUAUUACUCUCUUCAAUCAAAAGAACAAUCUUCUUGCUGAUUUCUGAAGUCGUAGUUACAUCAUUGGUAAACCGUAAAUGGAAUGCUAGAACUGAUAAGAUCAACCCAAUCCUUACCAGGGGAUGAUUCGUUAAAGGAGAACUUUGGUUGCAUGGACGUAGAUGUAAUGUUGAAAUUGUUCCAUGAUCAUGUCUCCACGUGUUAGCUUCAUCAUAGUUGUCUUUAUUUUUUUUAAUGACGGUGGUGUUCGGGCCCACCUGUGUGUACCUUCAACUAUUCAGCAAGUGCAUGCUACCUCCGACCAACACAAGGACCGGGUAUCUUUGACUACCAGAUAUGUUCAGUUGUCUAUGGAAUAUUGAAUCUUGUGGACAACUUAAGAUAGGAGUAACACAUAUUUAUUUCAUUCUAAGUUUAGUUUAUCACGUGAUGUGAUCAUGUUCUGUCACAAAUUUAACCUCGUCUUUAGAAUCAUUUGAAUAUCAGUUAUGAUCUUUUGUUUCUUCUUCAUUAACGUAAUAGAGUGCACUUGAUGUUUAUGAAUGUCAUGCUGAUACUUUCUUGUUGCGUUCGCUUGCCUUGUCAUGGCCAUGUGAAGGGAAGCAUUAUAAAAUAAGAGCUUGUUUGGAUAAGCUUUUUUUAAGUUGGAAAUCCCAGAUUUUCACUUUCGGCUUUUUUUAAGCUCUUUUGCCUUGAAAUAAGUGUCCAAAAGCACUUUCUUCAUUUACCCAAACACGAUAAAAGAGCUUAAAAGCUACUUUAACUUAAAAAAUACUUAAAAGAGGUCUAUCCAUACAGGCUCUAGGUCAUGUUUGGGAAAGGAAUACACAAACAAUUGCCAUGCUGAAGGGUUUUGAAUAUCCAUUUUCUUCUUUGUAGUAUUUGCAAGAUCAUAGUUAGAUGCAAAUUUAAUAAAUGCUAAAUGAUUUUUGUUCUUCUCUUUCUUUUUUAGUCCCUUCUUCUCACCUCUAUUUCAUUAACUCUAUUGAACCAGAUUGUCUCAGGAAAAUCAUAGUAGGUCAACAAAAGUCAAAGGAUAUUAUGAACGAAGAGCUGAAGUUCAUGCAAAUAGACCAUGAUGGUGGCUUAACUGCAGUGUAGGAAAAGCUUCUGAUGUUUGUAGAAGAGAAACUUCGGAAGAAAAGCUUGACAACUCACAAUAAACUAGAACUCCCUGUCAUGGAAAGUAACAAGUAUCAAGCCUAUGCUAAAGAUUAUUCUAAUCAGGUCAGCUAAGCCUUCUGAUUAUAAGCCUAACACAGAUGGUUGCCUGGCCUUGUGGAGGAAAUGGAAAUCUGGCGAUCAAUAAUGUGAUGGAGCAAAUCAAGAAUAUAGUAGAAAAGAUUGAAGUCUUGAAAGAGGAAGGAGAAUUUUGUUUUCUGCAUUACUACAGAGAAAGCAAAUACUGUUGCAGAUGUCAUAGCUAAGUCUUCUGAUUAUAAGCCUAACACAGAUGGUUGCCUGGCCUUGGUGGAGGAAAUGGAAAUCUGGCGAUCAAUAAUGUGAUGGAGCAAAUCAAGAAUAUAGUAGAAAAGAUUGAAGUCUUGAAAGAGAAAGGAGAAUUUUGUUUUCUGCAUUACUACAGAGAAAGCAAAUACUGUUGCAGAUGCCAUGGCUAACUGGAGUCAAAAGCUACAAAAUAUCCACGUCUUCACAAAUGUUGUCGACCUAUCCUACCCAAGUAGGGUGAGAGCCUCUUUAAAGAUGGAUAGGGAACCAAAUUAUCAACUAUAGAGUCAGGACUAAAAAAAAUUCUUUGAUGUGUAGUUUACUUAUGUCUUUUGAAGUUUAUGUGGAUAGGUUUUAUCAUCCUUUGGUGGUUAAUAUUGGCUCAUUAGUUUAAUGAAUUAAAAUGGGCUCAUUAGU